UUAGCUCAUAUUUGUAUGGAAUGGGAUCGCUUGUCUACGUUUGCCGCUAGGGGCGCUGUUCCAAGUGCAUACAAAUUUGGGUUA
RNAcentral lists this microRNA precursor (84 nucleotides) under Bombyx mori (domestic silkworm). RNAcentral's name for it is "mir-2807 microRNA precursor family". It matches the Rfam family "mir-2807 microRNA precursor family". The record is from Rfam by way of RNAcentral. Lineage: Eukaryota; Metazoa; Arthropoda; Insecta; Lepidoptera; Bombycidae.